CUCGUAGGCGGUUUGUCGCGUCUGCUGUGAAAACUCGGAGCUUAACUCCGGGCUUGCAGUGGGUACGGGCAGACUAGAGUGCGGUAGGGGAGACUGGAAUUCCUGGUGUAGCGGUGAAAUGCGCAGAUAUCAGGAGGAACACCGGUGGCGAAGGCGGGUCUCUGGGCCGUAACUGACGCUGAGGAGCGAAAGCGGUGGGGAGCGAACA
This 208-nucleotide ribosomal RNA is filed under the name uncultured bacterium. RNAcentral describes it as "partial 16S ribosomal RNA". It matches the Rfam family "Bacterial small subunit ribosomal RNA", at positions 568 to 774 of the family's 1533-position model. The record is from RNAcentral.